GAGGAAAGUCCGAGCUACACAGGGCAGAGUGCCGGAUAACGUCCGGGCGGCGUGAGCCGACGACCAGUGCAACAGAGAGCAGACCGCCGUGUAAACGGUAAGGGUGAAAGGGUGCGGUAAGAGCGCACCGUGCCUCCGGUAACGGUUGGCAGCAGGGUAAACUCCACUCGUAGCAAGACCAAAUAGGAAUCCAAUGAGUGGCCCGCUCAGGAUUCGGGUAGGUUGCUUGAGCGGCAGAGUAAUUUGUCGCCUAGAGGAAUGAUUGUCCACGACAGAACUCGGCUUA
This 286-nucleotide RNase P RNA is filed under the name Haemophilus haemolyticus HK386. RNAcentral's name for it is "Bacterial RNase P class A". It matches the Rfam family "Bacterial RNase P class A", at positions 43 to 351 of the family's 367-position model. From Rfam's summary of the family: Ribonuclease P (RNase P) is a ubiquitous endoribonuclease, found in archaea, bacteria and eukarya as well as chloroplasts and mitochondria. Lineage: Bacteria; Pseudomonadati; Pseudomonadota; Gammaproteobacteria; Pasteurellales; Pasteurellaceae. The record is from RNAcentral.